AAAUCCCGCUGCAGCCAUUGCCGCAGACACGAUGCCGAAACGAAAGAAGCAGAAUCAUCACCAGCCACCGACACAGCAGCAGCCCCCGCUGCCCGAGCGGGAAGAGACUGGAGAUGAGGAGGAUGGGAGUCCCAUCGCCCCAAACUGGAUACCACCCACAUGUCCAUCAUCAGUAGAAUGGAUAAAUAAAUUGUUGUGUAUGCAUGCAAUGGGACUACACUGCAACGAAAAUGAAUGAACUGCUGCUACAGGCAACCUGGAUGAAUCUCACAAACAUGAUGUUGAGCGAAAGGAGCCAGACAUAAAAGAAUGCAGACUCUCUUCACAGAGGUCCUCCAGGAUCAAGGGGACCACUGAUUCCACCACUGCUGAGUCUCCCACCUCCUCCUUGGGGUAGAGGCCCAAUUCGGAGAGGGCUUGGCCCCAGGUCUAGCCCAUAUGGUCGUGGUUGGUGGGGAGUCAAUGCAGAACCUCCUUUUCCGGGGCCAGGCCAUGGGGGUCCCACCAGGGGAAGCUUUCACAAGGAACAGAGAAACCCUCGAAGGCUCAAAAGCUGGUCUCUUAUCAAGAAUACCUGCCCGCCCAAGGAUGACCCCCAGGUUAUGGAAGACAAAUCCGACCGCCCUGUCUGCCGACAUUUUGCCAAAAAGGGCCACUGUCGAUAUGAGGACCUCUGUGCCUUCUACCAUCCAGGCGUCAAUGGACCUCCUCUGUGAGACUGUGCCUUCCCAUCCAGGCUGGAAGGAGCUCUCUGUGACCUAGCGGCCAUUUAUUUCUCUGUAGCCCUAUGAUGGCUACUGUGAGGCUCUUCUAACACCCUCAGUCAGUGACACACCCAUCCCAUCCACCACUUCCCCCGUGUGGGGUCCAGAGUGGUGUUGCAUCACUGGUGCGCGGCAUACGCGCUUUCUUCUGAUCCAGCCUGUAGAGACUCGCCUUUGGGACCCAUCUUUGCUUCCUUUCAGUUGCCUCCUGGAUCUUCUUUCCCGUCAUCAAAUGACUGCUGAACAGGAAACCUCUUUGGUGCUGUUUCUUGUGCAUCUGUCCACCUGUUCCCCAGUAUUGCCCUCAAUUCCUGAGAGCCCUGGAGCGGUUUCCUACCAUUCCCUUCUUUUAGCUGCUUGUUUUAAGUCCUUUUUAUGUGACAUUCCCUACCCCCAAUGUUGUCAGCUGCUUGUGAAACUCAGCCAGGUUGUCUAACCUGGGGUCAAGUUUGGGUGACUGGUGCAGAGUUACUUCCUAAAAGGCCACUCUCCCUGCCUUUGGAUUUCAUAGUUUCUCUGUCAGUAGCAUGAUCCCCACCGCUAUGGUCUAUCUAUGAUCACCGUGCUUUGUGAAACUGUGCAUCCCCUUGUAGCCUUUCUCAGUGUCCGUGGCAUUUUUGUGACUUCCCAGCACUAGAAUAAGUUUUCCUGCCAAAAUGAGUGAGGCGCUUGGUGCCCUCUGGACUUUCCCACUUCCCAACAUGGGAGAAUUGUGAACUUUCCAUCAGACUGCCUCCCUGGCCCUCCCCAUUCUUCUCCUGUUGGUUAUUCUGAGUCUGACACAGACCCAUGACAUGUCUUAUAAAGCCUCCAAUGGCUUUAUCCUACCUAGAUCCCUUCCAGCCCAUUUUAAUUAGACUAUGUCAUUGUGAGGCCACCAGUCCAUUCAUUUGAAUUCUGUGAAUCUCCACCUUGCCUAUCUUUGGGUAGAAGCUGGACAGUACUGUUGCCCUCUUCCAAUCCUCUUCCCCUACAUCCCUGGCACUGGUUGUUUUCUGUGAAAACAGCAGUGAACAGGUUCAGUUUUGAACUGGCCCUGAGGAAAUGGGUCAGGAGUUGUAUUGGCAAGAGGGAGGGGUGAGAGCUGUUGGAGAACUGAGAAUGAGGUUUUUUUUUUUUUUUUCUUUUUAACUUUUUUUAUAUUAGUAAUAAAUGCAGUGGAAACCAGCAUUUUAUUUAA
Molecule: unclassified non-coding RNA, 1944 nt
Filed under: Homo sapiens (human)
Lineage: Eukaryota; Metazoa; Chordata; Mammalia; Primates; Hominidae
Description: proline rich 3 (ENSG00000223766.10, ENSG00000233564.10)
Source: RNAcentral